UUGGAUCCUGCUUAAACAACCCAUUUCCUCUCCCCAGCUGCACCUCGCUCCCUGUCUCUCCGUCUGAGGGGUUAUUUCAUAGUCCUCUGUUUCAAGUUCAACCCAACCAGUGAGAAUGUUACUGCUGCAGGUUCUUAUUGUGACUUCAACAUGGUCUUAUGGAUAUACGCAAAUAACUCUGAUCCAAACUCCAUUGUCUGUCACCAGAGCGGUAACUAAAACUGCACGUAUGGCGUGUAAAAUUCCUGACAAAAGUUUUGAUUUUAACAGUGCUUAUAUACACUGGUAUCGACAGAGCCCUGGGGAAGCUCCAAAGAGGAUUCUGUAUAUUGGAUCAGGAUCAAUUUCUAAGGAUGAAGGCUUCAAUAGCGAAAAGUUUACUGCUAGUAAUGAUGUUUCUGCAUCCACCGCUAAUCUCAGAGUAGACCAACUAACCCAAGAGGAUGCUGCUACCUAUUAUUGUGCCACCUGGGAUCGCACAGUACUAGUCUUUGGCACAGGAACUAAGCUAGUUGUUUCUGAUCCUGCUAAAUCAUCCUUGCUGGGUGCCUAA
Non-coding RNA from Trachemys scripta elegans, 553 nucleotides. The record is from the annotation of a RefSeq genome assembly. NCBI's taxonomy places the organism in Eukaryota, Metazoa, Chordata, Testudines, Emydidae.